Molecule: long non-coding RNA, 488 nt
Filed under: Anas platyrhynchos platyrhynchos (common mallard)
Lineage: Eukaryota; Metazoa; Chordata; Aves; Anseriformes; Anatidae
Description: lncRNA (ENSAPLG00000020664.1)
Source: RNAcentral
ACGCAGCUCUAAGAGCAUUAGCUCUGAUGGAGCUGAGCACUCACUGAAUACACGACGUACACAAACGCAGCCCAGACUCAAUUUUCCAGGAGCAAUUCCAUGUUUCAGCCACCAGCUCUGUAAUCUGUUCAGGGCUGGGCACGAGGGGAAAUUGUCUCUAGUGAAGACAGAUGUGAAGAGAUGUUAAACCAUGCUUUCAUCUCCUGUUUUCCACAGAUGUGGUCCUGGCUUGGAAGAGUCUUCAGAAAGCCAAAGAAGUGCUACAAAGGAUUGAAAACAAAUUGUAUCAUCAAACGUGGAGCCGUGCCAAAUUGCAGACAGCCAGAAGAAAGCUUUGGUGUGAAAAAAGCUUUGCUGUCUGUUGCUGUUCACAGAAUUUCACACUGCCCAAGGAGUCCUGCCUUGCUGGAGAGAGCUCGGGCAAAAGAUGCAGCACCAACGCCCAGCAGCUGCAGCAAAGGAAAAGCUGCUUGUGCCUUACCUCAGAG